UGGAUACACUCAUGUCUUACCCUU
RNAcentral lists this non-coding RNA (24 nucleotides) under Arabidopsis thaliana (thale cress). Lineage: Eukaryota; Viridiplantae; Streptophyta; Magnoliopsida; Brassicales; Brassicaceae. The record is from RNAcentral.